CGCGGUUAUACGAUAGGAUCAAAUAUAAUUGUUUGGUGGAAAUGAGUAAAAAUAUGUUUUAAAAUAAUUUUUUGAGUGUAAAUUUAAAGGUGAAAUUUUAAAAUAUACAUAAUAAUAAUAUAAAAAAACUUUACAUUCUUUUGAAAUAAAGAUUUAAACUAGGAUUAGAUACCCUAUUAUUCUUUAUUGUUAGAUGCCUGGGUAGUAAAUGAUUGUCUAAACCUAAAGAAUUUGGCGGUACUUCAUUCUUACUAGAGGAACCUGCUCUUGUAUCGAUAUUCCACGAUUAAAUAUACAUAUUUUUGUUUUUCAGUUUGUAUACCGCCGUUGUCAGAUUAUUUUUAAAAAAUAUUAUCUAAUUAGUUUAUUACUAUGACAUCAGGUCAAGGUGCAGUCAAUGAAUUUGGGAGUAGUGGGUUACAAUAAUCUGGAAUUAUUACGGAUUAAUAGUUGUAUAAUUAUUAUGAAGGUGGAUUUAGUAGUAAAAUAAAGAUAAAAUAUUUAUAUGAAAUGAGCUCUGGAGUGUGUACAUAUCGCCCGUCGCUCUCUCCUUUAAGGAGAGAUAAGUCGUAACAUAGUAGAUGU
RNAcentral lists this ribosomal RNA (585 nucleotides) under Lepidurus apus lubbocki. Its description in RNAcentral is "partial 12S ribosomal RNA". The stretch from base 200 to 585 matches the Rfam family "Microsporidia small subunit ribosomal RNA", at positions 752 to 1286 of the family's 1311-position model. Lineage: Eukaryota; Metazoa; Arthropoda; Branchiopoda; Notostraca; Triopsidae. The record is from RNAcentral.